This 756-nucleotide ribosomal RNA is filed under the name marine metagenome. Its description in RNAcentral is "bacterial SSU rRNA". It matches the Rfam family "Bacterial small subunit ribosomal RNA", at positions 8 to 809 of the family's 1533-position model. The record is from RNAcentral.
AGAGUUUGAUCAUGGCUCAGAACGUACGCUGGCGGCACGCCUAACACAUGCAAGUCGAACGAAGUAGCAAUACUUAGUGGCAGACGGGUGAGUAACAUGUAGGUAUCUGCCCUUUGGCCUGGAAUAACACGAGGAAACUUGUGCUAAUACCGGAUAAGUCUUUACGGAGAAAGCUUUAUGCACCAUUGGAUGAGCCUGCACUUGAUUAGUUUGUUGGUGGGGUAAUGGCCUACCAAGACUGUGAUCAAUAGCUGAUUUGAGAGGAUGAUCAGCCACAUUGGGACUGAGACACGGCCCAAACUCCUACGGGAGGCAGCAGUGGGGAAUCUUGCACAAUGGAGGAAACUCUGAUGCAGCGAUGCCGCGUGAGUGAAGAAGGCCCUUGGGUUGUAAAGCUCUUUCGUCGGGGAAGAAAAUGACUGUACCCGAAUAAGAAGGUCCGGCUAACUUCGUGCCAGCAGCCGCGGUAAUACGAAGGGACCUAGCGUAGUUCGGAAUUACUGGGCUUAAAGAGUUCGUAGGUGGUUGAAAAAGUUAGUGGUGAAAUCCCAGAGCUUAACUCUGGAACUGCCAUUAAAACUUUUCAGCUAGAGUAUGAUAGAGGAAAGCAGAAUUUCUAGUGUAGAGGUGAAAUUCGUAGAUAUUAGAAAGAAUACCAAUUGCGAAGGCAGCUUUCUGGAUCAUUACUGACACUGAGGAACGAAAGCAUGGGUAGCGAAGAGGAUUAGAUACCCUCGUAGUCCAUGCCGUAAACGA